RNAcentral lists this ribosomal RNA (328 nucleotides) under Mimetus sp. GH1411f. RNAcentral's name for it is "partial 12S ribosomal RNA". The record is from RNAcentral. Lineage: Eukaryota; Metazoa; Arthropoda; Arachnida; Araneae; Mimetidae.
AUUUAGAUUUUCUAGGUAGUAACUUCAUUUAAACAAACCUUUAUAAAAUGGCGGCAUUUCAUUUUAUUAGAGGAACAUGUUUUUAAAAUCGACUCCACACGAUCAAUUUUACUUUUAUUAAAAUUUUAUAUACCUCCAUUAGACAAAUUUAUACAAAUAUAUUUUUUAAACAAAAAUCUAAAAAAUUAGGUAAAGGUGUAAACAAUAUAAAAGAAUUAAAUGUGUUACAUUAAAUCCAAUUUAAAAUAAUUUAUUUAAAAUUUAUUCGAAAAGGAUUUAAAAGUAAUAUUAAUAUAAUAUAUUACUAUGAAUAAAUAAAUAAAUGUGC